Molecule: long non-coding RNA, 1010 nt
Organism: Drosophila miranda
Lineage: Eukaryota; Metazoa; Arthropoda; Insecta; Diptera; Drosophilidae
Exons: 2
Source: RefSeq, a predicted model, not a curated record
AGCAGGUCCUGCCAGACCGAAAAACUUUUCCCUUUAGUUUGUGGGGAGUCGGGCAUAAAAUUGAAAUGCAAAUUAAAGCAAAGGAACCACCCUUAGGGAGAGGUUUCUGAAUGGCAAGCCGCAAAGUGAACAAGCCACAGACAUCAAAAGGAUUCCGCGGUUUGCUGUCGGGCACUGAACUUAGUUGGUAGCUUGCUUGAUAGCGUCACUCACUGCCAUCGCUGCGGGCCACGCCUUCGCGCAGCAGAAAGUAGCGCAGACCCUCCAUAGUGUACUGCUGGGCGGCCUGGACGGGAUCCACCACGUUGUGCUUGCUCUUGGACAUCUUCUGACCGUCGACCGUCCAGUGCGAGUGGACGUACAGCUGCUGUGGCGGCUGGAGGCCAGCGGCCAGGAGGAAUGCGGGCCAAUAAAUGCCAUGGAACUUGAGGAUGUCCUUGCCAAUCACCUGCUGGGCUGGUGGCCAGUGAUCCAGAAACUGCAUUGGGAAAAAACCAAUCCCAAUCAGUUGAUUUUCACAACAGUCUUCAAGCUUGAUCUUACCUCCUCAUUGGGAUAUCCCAAGGAGCUAAGAUAGUUGACCAGCGCAUCCAGCCAUACGUACACCGUUUGCGAGUCAUCACCCGGCACCGGUAUGGCCCAGUGGACGCGGUUUGAGGGCCGCGACACGGACACAUCCGGCAGCGGUUCGCUGAGCGUGUCCAACAGAAUCUUCUCGAACUUGGCUGGUCGUAUGCGCGCCUCCUGCUUGACCCAGUGCCGGACAUCGUCCUGGAACUGCGACAGGCGGAACAUGUAGUUGGUCUCCUCCGUCCACUCUACGGGAUGGCCCGACUCUAGAGAGUAGCGCGUGCCACUGGCCUCGUCCAGACGCAGUUGAGAGUCGGUGAGGAAUACCUCAUCGGACACACAGUACCAGCCGCUGUAAGCAGCCGAGUAGAUGUGUCCCCGGGAGUGCAGAGUGCGCUGUGAAUCAAAAAUCGACAUUAAAAUGUUUCGGGAAUCUCCAG